Molecule: ribosomal RNA, 618 nt
Filed under: uncultured bacterium
Lineage: Bacteria
Description: bacterial SSU rRNA
Rfam family: Bacterial small subunit ribosomal RNA (bases 1-541)
Source: RNAcentral
CCUACGGGAGGCAGCAGUGGGGAAUUUUGGACAAUGGGCGAAAGCCUGAUCCAGCAAUGCCGCGUGAGUGAAGAAGGCCUUCGGGUUGUAAAGCUCUUUUGUCAGGGAAGAAACGGUGAAAGCUAAUAUCUUUUGCUAAUGACGGUACCUGAAGAAUAAGCACCGGCUAACUACGUGCCAGCAGCCGCGGUAAUACGUAGGGUGCAAGCGUUAAUCGGAAUUACUGGGCGUAAAGCGUGCGCAGGCGGUUUUGUAAGUCUGAUGUGAAAUCCCCGGGCUCAACCUGGGAAUUGCAUUGGAGACUGCAAGGCUAGAAUCUGGCAGAGGGGGGUAGAAUUCCACGUGUAGCAGUGAAAUGCGUAGAUAUGUGGAGGAACACCGAUGGCGAAGGCAGCCCCCUGGGUCAAGAUUGACGCUCAUGCACGAAAGCGUGGGGAGCAAACAGGAUUAGAUACCCUGGUAGUCCACGCCCUAAACGAUGUCUACUAGUUNUCGGGUCUUAAUUGACUUGGUAACGCAGCUAACGCGUGAAGUGACCGCCUGGGGUGGUAGUGNGAGAGUUAAACUUAGAAGAAGUUAGNGGCGNGAGAGNGCGACGGACGACGACGAGGGAGGAGG